UGGGGAAUCUUCCGCAAUGGACGAAAGUCUGACGGAGCAACGCCGCGUGUAUGAUGAAGGUCUUCGGAUUGUAAAGUACUGUCAUUGGGGAAGAACGGCUUUCUUGAAAAGAUUGAGAAGACAUGACGGUACCCAAGGAGGAAGCCCCGGCUAACUACGUGCCAGCAGCCGCGGUAAUACGUAGGGGGCAAGCGUUGUCCGGAAUUAUUGGGCGUAAAGGGCGCGUAGGCGGGCUUUUAAGUCCGGUGUGAAAGAUCAGGGCUCAACCCUGAGAGUGCAUCGGAAACUGGAGGCCUUGAGGACAGGAGAGGAAAGUGGAAUUCCACGUGUAGCGGUGAAAUGCGUAGAUAUGUGGAGGAACACCAGUGGCGAAGGCGACUUUCUGGACUGUAACUGACGCUGAGGCGCGAAAGCGUGGGGAGCAAACAGGAUUAGAUACCCUGGUAGUCCACGCCGUAAACGAUGAGUGCUAGGUGUAGAGGGCUAUCGACCCCUUCUGUGCCGCAGUUAACACAAUAAGCACU
This 524-nucleotide ribosomal RNA is filed under the name uncultured bacterium. RNAcentral describes it as "partial 16S ribosomal RNA". It matches the Rfam family "Bacterial small subunit ribosomal RNA", at positions 355 to 868 of the family's 1533-position model. The record is from RNAcentral.